Molecule: ribosomal RNA, 3184 nt
Filed under: Drosophila melanogaster (fruit fly)
Lineage: Eukaryota; Metazoa; Arthropoda; Insecta; Diptera; Drosophilidae
Description: eukaryotic LSU rRNA
Rfam family: Eukaryotic large subunit ribosomal RNA
Source: RNAcentral
AUUUUUUCCAUAUAAGGACAUUGUAAUCUAUUAGCAUAUACCAAAUUUAUCAUAAAAUAUAACUUAUAGUUUAUUCCAAUUAAAUUGCUUGCAUUUUAACACAGAAUAAAUGUUAUUAAUUUGAUAAAGUGCUGAUAGAUUUAUAUGAUUACAGUGCGUUAAUUUUUCGGAAUUAUAUAAUGGCAUAAUUAUCAUUGAUUUUUGUGUUUAUUAUAUGCACUUGUAUGAUUAACAAUGCGAAAGAUUCAGGAUACCUUCGGGACCCGUCUUGAAACACGGACCAAGGAGUCUAACAUAUGUGCAAGUUAUUGGGAUAUAAACCUAAUAGCGUAAUUAACUUGACUAAUAAUGGGAUUAGUUUUUUAGCUAUUUAUAGCUAAUUAACACAAUCCCGGGGCGUUCUAUAUAGUUAUGUAUAAUGUAUAUUUAUAUUAUUUAUGCCUCUAACUGGAACGUACCUUGAGCAUAUAUGCUGUGACCCGAAAGAUGGUGAACUAUACUUGAUCAGGUUGAAGUCAGGGGAAACCCUGAUGGAAGACCGAAACAGUUCUGACGUGCAAAUCGAUUGUCAGAAUUGAGUAUAGGGGCGAAAGACCAAUCGAACCAUCUAGUAGCUGGUUCCUUCCGAAGUUUCCCUCAGGAUAGCUGGUGCAUUUUAAUAUUAUAUAAAAUAAUCUUAUCUGGUAAAGCGAAUGAUUAGAGGCCUUAGGGUCGAAACGAUCUUAACCUAUUCUCAAACUUUAAAUGGGUAAGAACCUUAACUUUCUUGAUAUGAAGUUCAAGGUUAUGAUAUAAUGUGCCCAGUGGGCCACUUUUGGUAAGCAGAACUGGCGCUGUGGGAUGAACCAAACGUAAUGUUACGGUGCCCAAAUUAACAACUCAUGCAGAUACCAUGAAAGGCGUUGGUUGCUUAAAACAGCAGGACGGUGAUCAUGGAAGUCGAAAUCCGCUAAGGAGUGUGUAACAACUCACCUGCCGAAGCAACUAGCCCUUAAAAUGGAUGGCGCUUAAGUUGUAUACCUAUACAUUACCGCUAAAGUAGAUGAUUUAUAUUACUUGUGAUAUAAAUUUUGAAACUUUAGUGAGUAGGAAGGUACAAUGGUAUGCGUAGAAGUGUUUGGCGUAAGCCUGCAUGGAGCUGCCAUUGGUACAGAUCUUGGUGGUAGUAGCAAAUAAUCGAAUGAGACCUUGGAGGACUGAAGUGGAGAAGGGUUUCGUGUGAACAGUGGUUGAUCACGAGUUAGUCGGUCCUAAGUUCAAGGCGAAAGCCGAAAAUUUUCAAGUAAAACAAAAAUGCCUAACUAUAUAAACAAAGCGAAUUAUAAUACACUUGAAUAAUUUUGAACGAAAGGGAAUACGGUUCCAAUUCCGUAACCUGUUGAGUAUCCGUUUGUUAUUAAAUAUGGGCCUCGUGCUCAUCCUGGCAACAGGAACGACCAUAAAGAAGCCGUCGAGAGAUAUCGGAAGAGUUUUCUUUUCUGUUUUAUAGCCGUACUACCAUGGAAGUCUUUCGCAGAGAGAUAUGGUAGAUGGGCUAGAAGAGCAUGACAUAUACUGUUGUGUCGAUAUUUUCUCCUCGGACCUUGAAAAUUUAUGGUGGGGACACGCAAACUUCUCAACAGGCCGUACCAAUAUCCGCAGCUGGUCUCCAAGGUGAAGAGUCUCUAGUCGAUAGAAUAAUGUAGGUAAGGGAAGUCGGCAAAUUAGAUCCGUAACUUCGGGAUAAGGAUUGGCUCUGAAGAUUGAGAUAGUCGGGCUUGAUUGGGAAACAAUAACAUGGUUUAUGUGCUCGUUCUGGGUAAAUAGAGUUUCUAGCAUUUAUGUUAGUUACUUGUUCCCCGGAUAGUUUAGUUACGUAGCCAAUUGUGGAACUUUCUUGCUAAAAUUUUUAAGAAUACUAUUUGGGUUAAACCAAUUAGUUCUUAUUAAUUAUAACGAUUAUCAAUUAACAAUCAAUUCAGAACUGGCACGGACUUGGGGAAUCCGACUGUCUAAUUAAAACAAAGCAUUGUGAUGGCCCUAGCGGGUGUUGACACAAUGUGAUUUCUGCCCAGUGCUCUGAAUGUCAAAGUGAAGAAAUUCAAGUAAGCGCGGGUCAACGGCGGGAGUAACUAUGACUCUCUUAAGGUAGCCAAAUGCCUCGUCAUCUAAUUAGUGACGCGCAUGAAUGGAUUAACGAGAUUCCUACUGUCCCUAUCUACUAUCUAGCGAAACCACAGCCAAGGGAACGGGCUUGGAAUAAUUAGCGGGGAAAGAAGACCCUUUUGAGCUUGACUCUAAUCUGGCAGUGUAAGGAGACAUAAGAGGUGUAGAAUAAGUGGGAGAUAUUAGACCUCGGUUUGGUAUCGUCAAUGAAAUACCACUACUCUUAUUGUUUCCUUACUUACUUGAUUAAAUGGAACGUGUAUCAUUUCCUAGCCAUUAUACGGAUAUAUUUAUUAUAUCUUAUGGUAUUGGGUUUUGAUGCAAGCUUCUUGAUCAAAGUAUCACGAGUUUGUUAUAUAAUCGCAAACAAAUUCUUUAAUAAAACGAUGCAUUUAUGUAUUUUUGAUUUGAAAAUUUGGUAUAACUCCAAUUACUCAGGUAUGAUCCAAUUCAAGGACAUUGCCAGGUAGGGAGUUUGACUGGGGCGGUACAUCUCUCAAAUAAUAACGGAGGUGUCCCAAGGCCAGCUCAGUGCGGACAGAAACCACACAUAGAGCAAAAGGGCAAAUGCUGACUUGAUCUCGGUGUUCAGUACACACAGGGACAGCAAAAGCUCGGCCUAUCGAUCCUUUUGGUUUAAAGAGUUUUUAACAAGAGGUGUCAGAAAAGUUACCAUAGGGAUAACUGGCUUGUGGCGGCCAAGCGUUCAUAGCGACGUCGCUUUUUGAUCCUUCGAUGUCGGCUCUUCCUAUCAUUGUGAAGCAAAAUUCACCAAGCGUUGGAUUGUUCACCCAUGCAAGGGAACGUGAGCUGGGUUUAGACCGUCGUGAGACAGGUUAGUUUUACCCUACUAAUGACAAAACGUUGUUGCGACAGCAUUCCUGCGUAGUACGAGAGGAACCGCAGGUACGGACCAAUGGCACAAUACUUGUUCGAGCGAACAGUGGUAUGACGCUACGUCCGUUGGAUUAUGCCUGAACGCCUCUAAGGUCGUAUCCGUGCUGGACUGCAAUGAUAAAUAAGGGGCAAUUUGCAUUGU